This 253-nucleotide ribosomal RNA is filed under the name uncultured bacterium. RNAcentral's name for it is "partial 16S ribosomal RNA". It matches the Rfam family "Bacterial small subunit ribosomal RNA", at positions 524 to 776 of the family's 1533-position model. The record is from RNAcentral.
UACGGAGGGUGCAAGCAUUGAUCGGAAUUACUGGGCGUAAAGGGCGCGUAGGCGGUUAAGUAAGUCAGAUGUGAAAUUCCGGGGCUCAACCCCGGAGCUGCAUUUGAAACUGCAUAGCUAGAGUACAGUUAGGGUAAACGGAAUUCCACGUGUAGCGGUGAAAUGCGUAGAUAUGUGGAAGAACACCGGUGGUGAAGACGGUUUACUGGGCUGAAACUGACGCUGAGGCGCGAAAGCAUGGGGAGCAAACAGG